Molecule: ribosomal RNA, 253 nt
Filed under: uncultured bacterium
Lineage: Bacteria
Also listed under: 1 other name
Description: partial 16S ribosomal RNA
Rfam family: Bacterial small subunit ribosomal RNA
Source: RNAcentral
UACAGAGGUCCCGAGCGUUGUUCGGAUUCACUGGGCGUAAAGGGUGCGUAGGUGGUGAUGUAAGUUUGAUGUGAAAUCUCCGGGCUUAACCCGGAAAUGGCAUUGAAUACUACAUUGCUGGAGGAUUGGAGGGGGGACUGGAAUUCUCGGUGUAGCAGUGAAAUGCGUAGAUAUCGAGAGGAACACCAGUGGCGAAGGCGAGUCCCUGGACAAUACCUGACACUGAGGCACGAAAGCUAGGGGAGCAAACAGG